Molecule: long non-coding RNA, 711 nt
Organism: Patella vulgata (common limpet)
Lineage: Eukaryota; Metazoa; Mollusca; Gastropoda; Patellidae
Exons: 4
Source: RefSeq, a predicted model, not a curated record
CCGACAACUCAUAAGUGAACUACAGGCCUUACUGAUCAGUCGAUCAAAAUGGUUUCAAGAAUUAUUUUAGUUGCUGUUGUAUUUGCAUCAGUACUACAGACAACAAAUUCUGAAUCAUGCAAUACUGAAUCGCUUAAAACUACUUGUAAAUUUCCUGGUACGACACAAUUCCCGACCACGGAAGAAGAAAUUAAAACUGCUUGCGGACUUUUCAAGACAUAUUUCGCCUGUGUUGAUACAGAAACAUCACCUUGUUCUCAAACUUUCAAGGACGAAAUUCAAACCACAGCACUGGACCUUAUUCAGCCCACUUAUAAUGAAAAAUGUGGCGGUAUGGUGAUUAAUCCACUGAAUAUUGGUGUAUACAUUAUUAUUGCUUUGGCUAAAUUGACCUUCGACAGAUACAUGUAAAUCUUCCCUGGAAAGAAAACAUCGUUGAUAUGUAUACAUAGAGUAGCCGUACUUUUAGAUACAAUAGAUCAGUCGCUUCUAGUGACCAAUAUAAUUAAAACAUCACAUUUCCUUUCGUUUAAUGUAUGAUUUGUUACAUCGGUAGGCCAUUUAAUGUUUGAUUUCUUAUCUCGAUAGGGCGUUUUAAAAUUGAAUUAUCUCGAUAGGGCGUUUUAUAAAUGAUUUGUUACCCCGUCAGGGCGUUUUAUGAAUAAUUUGUUACCUCGAUAAAUAUCAGCUUAUAAACCACCUCCGGUUGCA